UUGGAGGGCAAGUCUGGUGCCAGCAGCCGCGGUAAUUCCAGCUCCAAUAGCGUAUAUUAAAGUUGUUGCAGUUAAAAAGCUCGUAGUUGAAUUUCGGGAUCAAUUUAUCGGUCGUGCCUCUGGUAUGCACUGGUAUUAUUGAUUUCUACCUUCUGACGAACCAUGAUGUCAUUAAUUUGGUGUCAUGGGGAAUCAGGACUGUUACUUUGAAAAAAUUAGAGUGUUUAAAGCAAGCACACGCUUGAAUACAUUAGCAUGGAAUAAUGAAAUAGGACGUUUGACCCUAUUUUGUUGGUUUCUAGGAUCGACGUAAUGAUUAAUAGGGAUAGUUGGGGGCAUUAGUAUUCAAUUGUCAGAGGUGAAAUUCUUGGAUUUAUUGAAGACUAACUACUGCGAAAGCAUUUGCCAAGGAUGUUUUCAUUAAUCAAGAACGAAAGUUAGGGGAUCGAAGACGAUCAGAUACCGUCGUAGUCUUAACCAUAAACUAUGCCGACUAGGGAUCGGAUGAUGUUAAUUUUUUAAUGACUCAUUCGGCGCCUUACGGGAAAC
This 549-nucleotide ribosomal RNA is filed under the name uncultured Glomeromycotina. RNAcentral's name for it is "SSU rRNA". It matches the Rfam family "Eukaryotic small subunit ribosomal RNA", at positions 548 to 1098 of the family's 1831-position model. Lineage: Eukaryota; Fungi; Glomeromycota. The record is from RNAcentral.